UAGUGGAACUGGAACAAGCUGUUAUUAUAACCAAAUCAUUGAAAUUAACAAUUGUUCAUCUAAGCUAUGGCUUCCAUAGACAAUAACCAAAAAUUUAUUUUACUCCUAAUUUUUUCACUAAUUUCUCUGUCUUCUUCUAAUACAGUACUUGCUAAGUCUCGCCGUCCAAUCUCUGAUGCAGAGAUCAGAGAGAAGAAACUCCAAUGUUAUGCAGAUAUUGAGAGUGGAUUAUGGGGUCAGAAGUGCAUUGCUACAGCAGUAGACAAGGAGAAUUGUGCUCUACAAUGUUUGUCACCAGUUUGUUAUGAGCGCGUUUAUCAAAGUGAUCCUUUGGAGGAAGGGGAAAAAGAUACAGUAAGGAGUCAAGAAUACAAGUACUGCAUGCACAAAGUGCCAACGCGUGUCUGAACUGGCAACAAGCAGUGAAGCAGAUGAAACUACUCGCUGAAAAUAAUUAUCUUUAAACCUUUCUUCUUCUACUGUCUACCCCUCCUCAUGUUUAUAUUCUAUUGAAAUAGAAACUAGAACAUAUGAUGUCUGAUACCGGAUAAUGUUUGUAUACACAGAAUGGUAAAUAGUAUUGAGGCACUCCCUUGGGCAGAGCUUGGAUGAUAUUAAAGGUUCGUUCGAGUGGUAAAUUGGCAAAUCUGCCAGUAUGGCUUGUGAAUUCCUGCGUCUUUUCCCAUUAACAACUCUGUUGUAUGUAUGAUGUUUGUCGUGUGGAUGUUCAUUGAUUAUACUGAUCUGUAACAACAUGUACUCCUUUCAGAGAUUUAAGGUUUUUGUAUCCAUUUCUUUCCCUUCGGGUGUUUAGGAACAAUAAAUCUCCUUUCGCUUCGUGACCCCAUGAGGGUAAUACUUGUACAAAUUUACUUCAAUUCAACCAGUUAUAGUGUGUUGUUACUCCUUUUUU
Molecule: RNA transcript, 913 nt
Organism: Solanum pennellii
Lineage: Eukaryota; Viridiplantae; Streptophyta; Magnoliopsida; Solanales; Solanaceae
Exons: 6
Source: RefSeq, a predicted model, not a curated record